Molecule: long non-coding RNA, 5881 nt
Filed under: Gossypium barbadense (sea-island cotton)
Lineage: Eukaryota; Viridiplantae; Streptophyta; Magnoliopsida; Malvales; Malvaceae
Description: long non-coding RNA (GBAR_LNC005878)
Source: RNAcentral
GGCUUAGAUUAAAAAAAUAACAAAGCCCAAACAAUGUUAUUUGGGCUAGUGUCCAUCGAGAGAAACUUACAAACAGGCAGCCCAUACUAACUAUAGGACAACCCUAAGUACUAAAAGACAAAAAUGAAGGAAAAAACAAGAAACUUUAAACAAAUAACAAUGAAAUUAAAAAACCAAUAAACCUAAUUAAUGCCCCAUCACAUCAGACAGCCUGGCCAGUAUCUGUUUCCAUCGUCGUUUCAUGUCAAAAGCCUCACCAGUUCCAAAGAUAGCUUUUCACCAGAUUUACUAAAUCCAACUAUCAUGACUCCUCUUUUUACCGUUUCAAAAGAUCAGUCCGAAUGCUCCCUCCAUCUUCCUUCCGGAUCAAUUUCACUAUGAUUUCUCCCUUCUCGAACCAGGUAAUCCCCUUCCCUCCUCUGUAAUGCAUCUUUUGCUAUAUUGUGGGCUUGAACAUUUUUCGAUCUGUAAAUAAAUUGAAAGCUCACCUCUGGUAUACUGGUUCUUUUUUUUUGUAUAUCUUGAAUGAUUACUCCCAGAACUGAUUUGUCAACUAUUUCCGAUUGGCAUUUUUUGACAACUGUUCUCGAGUCUCCUUGUAUUAUUACUGAAGAUAAACUCAUUUCAAUUGCUAAUUUGACGGCCUCUAACACUGCAUGAGCUUCUGCUAUAAAUGAGGAGGAGAUAUUUUCAUGGAGAAUCGCCCUUUCAACUAUUCUCUCACCUUGUUGAUCGUGAGCCACUAACCCCGAUGUCGAUCUGAAAUUUGUAUGUAAAAAAAUUGCUUAAACUCCGAAUUCCUUUAUGAUUUAAAAAUAAUCCCAUUAUUACUAUCUAAUCCAAAUUUGAAUUAAAUAUUAUUAAGAAUAAUUAUCAAAAUUAUACAUGAACUUUGGUUCAAUAUAUAAUAUCAUACAUUAAUUUUGAUUUUGUUCGAUUUUAUACAUAAAAUUUUGGUUUGAUUCAAUUUUCAUAAAUUAUUAACAAUCGAAAUAACACGACUUUACAUGGAUAUACUGCAUAUACAAAUAAUUAUAUUAACCCAAUAUGAAAAUAAAUGUAUGCAUCCAUUUCUUUAAAUAUGCACAAUUGAAUCAAAAUCAAAGUUUCAUAUAUACAUAUAAACUACAUGUCAAAUUAUAUAUAUAUAAUUACAUCAAAUCAAAAUUCAUGCAUCAAAAUAUACAUUAAACCAAAAUUCAUAUAUAAAUUUAAUAUUUAUCUAAAUAACAUUAUCCUCAAAAUAUUCAAAUCCACAAAUGAUGAUUGUCCAAUUAAUAUAUCUUUUUGUACAUAUUCAUGCUUGAGUAGUCUGCUUUUAGUAUUUCUAGGAUGCCACUAGUUAUGUUGGAUUUUAUUUGAGAUUAUUUUUGGGUGAAAUAUUUUAUUGUUAUAUUAAAACUAAUAAAAAAUUGAAUAGACAAAAUUUGAUAAAAUAUUCAAAUUGUACUUUGUAUUCAUUUUAAAUUACAUUUCAUUAUGAUUUAAACUGUUAUUUUUAUUAUUAUAUUGAAACAAAAUAAAAAAAAUUAAAUAGAUAAAUUUAAAUAAAUAUUGAAUUAUACUUUAUUACAAUAUUAAAUUAUAUUUUCAUUAUAAUUUAAACUAUUCAAGCUUAUAAAUAAACAAUAUCAUAUUAUUUCUUAAUUAAACAUAAUAAAUAUUAUUAUAUUAAAACUAAAAAAUUUAAUAAAUAUUAAAUUACACUUUUAUAUUCAUGUUGAAUUUAGCAAUUUAAACUAUUAAUUCAAUUCUUAUAUUAACACUAAAUAAAAAUUUUGAAUAGUUGAAAUGUGAUGAAUAUUAAAUAAUAUAAAUUCAUCGAAAUUUAGUUUUUAAUUCUACAAACUGAAAUAAUGAAAGGAUUAAUAUUUGAUGCAUUGAUAGUGUAUAAUUUUAUGCAUCAUCGUCAAUGAAUCAAAUGAUAAUACCUACAAUAUUUAAAAAUAAAUCUAGUUAAUGCAUAAAAAAGAUAAAAAUAAAUUUUAUAUCAAGUUUAAAAACCCUAAAUAAACUCGAACUAAUUUUGAGGGUCAUAGAUGAUUAAAAAAAAAGUUCUUGAAAUAUUGAAUUUUUGCUAAACAUGAAAAGAUUAGAUGAUUGUUCUCAUUGAAAUGUAAAAAAAAUUGACAGAUCAUUUAGCAAAAUUAUUAGCCUUGCAAUCUAGAGUAAAAGUGUAACACCCUUAACCCGUGUCUGCUGCCAGAAUAGGGUUUCGGAGCAUUACUACCAUAUGCAGAUCACUUAAAAAAAUAAAUUUAAAUACUUACCGAUUCAAUGCAUCAUAUAAAUAAAUAUAUUACCAUUCAAUCAACAGUUUGGUACUUGUAUAAGCAUCAAAACAACAACAUUGUUAGUAUACUUGCACAUAUCAUAUAAAUUCAACAUUGAUAUAUCUAUUUUCUUGAUAUAUCGCACUUGAGUUUAAUAAUAGUCUCAUCUUACAUAAUUUUCUUGUAUCAGCAUAUCAAAAAUAAUCAUAUAUGUACAUGUCAUGAAACAUAUCAUGCUCUUACCGUUUCUUCAUAAGCAUAUAUUAUUCAUUUCAUUAUAUCAGUAUUUCAUACUCCAUCAUUUUCAUAUAUUUUAUAUAUAUUUAUUCCGGUAAUAGCUUAUAUCUUAACAUAAAUUAUAUUUCAUGUACUUAUACUUAUUUCGUUUAUCUAUCUUCAUAAUUAUUUCAUACAACUAUUUUGUACAUAUAUUUCUAUAUUACUAGUUCUUGUAAACAUUUCACACAAUCAUUUCAUAUAAUCAUUCGUCAUCUGAUACAUAUUACCUGAAUAUCAAUUGUUCAACAGAUGUCAUAGCGUCUCCCAUUCACGGUCUUAUUUAUCUUUGACAUUAUGCCAUAGUGUCUUUCAACUAUAGUGUUACUCAUUUUCUGUCAUGUUGCCAUGGUAUCUUUUAACCAUGGUCAAGUAUUUAAGAAUAUAAUUCAAGUUAUACAAACUUACCUCAUUGCUUGUUUGUGUUUAUAAUUUCAUUAAUUCGAUAUCUUUUCUUUUCCACGAUCAAGUCUCAUAUUUGAGUCGUCUGGAUCUUUAUAAAUAAAUUUGAUAAUUAUUUUCAUUUAUUUAAUAUUCUAAUACAUUUAAUUAAUACUCUAGGUAAAAUUAUCAUUUUACUCCUAAACUUUUAAUUAAUGACGAUUUCAUCUUUAGAAUCAGGAAAAUAAAAUUCUUGCAAUUUAAUCCUUAUUUCCAGCUAUUAUUCUCAUAUGUAUUGAUAACAAUUCAUGAAUUCUAUAAAAUAUCAGAAAUUUUUAUAAUUUUAACACUUUUCAAUUUAAUCCGCAAAACAUGUUUUCCCUUGAUCUUUAACUAAAUUAAUAAUUUCAUUCAAUUUUGUAAUUUAAAUAAUAAAAUAAUUCAUUUCAUUCAAUUUGGUUAUUUCUGACUUUUUUACAAAAUUUUUCAUAAAGUUUUACUUUUAUUUAAUUUAGUCCCUAAGCCUAAAAUAUACAAAUUAGCCAUACUAGAUGAAUAUUCAUACAUAUUUUUCCUCCUCCUCCUCUACAUUCCACAUCCUUAAUGUACAUAACACACUUGUAAGUAACAUUAUCCAUAAUUUUUAUUAUUUACUUUUAUGAAUUUUCAAGCUGUUUAUCUGCAUCAUAGUCACUAAAUUAUUUAUAUCUGGAGCUAUAGAACUCCAAAUUAAGAUUCGAUAAUUUUUACUAAAACUAGACUAUAUAUAUUCUUACCAUAAAAUUUUCAGAAUUUUUGGUUUAGUCAAUAAGUACGGUUUAUUCUUUAAAUUUACCCCUAUUCUGCUGUCUGAUAGUUCUGGUUCUUCUUCACUAAAAAUUAAUUAUUUCCUCGUACAGAAUUUGAAUGAUGUUAUCGUUUGUUUUUAUUGAAAAUAAACUCAUUCAGGAUUAUAAACAUAUAAAUUUAAGCCCCUAAUUAUUUUUAUCCAAUUUUUUAUGAUUUUACAAAGUCAGAACAGGGGAACCCGAAAUCAUUCUGACUCUAUCUCAAAAAAUUCAUCAUAUCUCAUGAUUUACAAUUAUAUUGCUUACAUAAUUUCUUCUAUAAGAAACUAAAUUUAAUAAGCUUUAAUUUCAUAUUUUAUUCAUCCUAUAAUUAUAUUUUUACAAUUUUUGAUGAUUUUUCAAAAUUAUACUACUGCUACUAUCCAAAACUAUUUUAGUACAAAAUAUUAAUUACCAUGUUAUAACACCCUUAUUUUCUUUUUCUAGACAAUUUUUCAUUACUUUCUCUUAUUUUCUCUUCACUAACAUAUGAAGAACAUAGGACCUUAUGUAAGAAAACUCUAUUAUAACAUUAUUUUCAUGCUUUGUUAAUAAUAACAAACUUAAAAAUAUAUUGAAAUCUUGAUAUACUUACCUUUUUCUAUUGAUACUAAUCUUUAAUUUGAUUUUCUCUCUCCUCCAACUUUUAUUUCUUGAAUCCAACUUGAUAUUCUAACUUCUCAUGGUCUCCUUAACAUUUUUCUCUCUUAGUAGCUAUGGAAAUUCUUUUGAUUUCUAGGUGAAAAUGGUAAAUUUUUGGUGGAAGGACCAAAUUGUAAAAAAAAAAAAUUUCUUUAUUUUCCUUCUCUUCUAACGUUGGUUGCAUGCAUGGAAAGAUGAUGGAAAUUCUUCAUCUUUCCUUCCUUUUAUAUUAAAUAAUUAAUAAAAUAAUAAUAAUGAAAUAAUAAUAAAAUAAUAAAAUAUCUCAUUAAAAUAAUAUAUAUCUAAUUAAAUAAUCAUAAAAUAUCAUCAAAAUCAUCAUUACAUUCUAGAUUUCUCUCUUCCAAUUGAUCAUUUUACCCUUUAUUAUCUUUUAAAAUUUCAUCAUUGAGUAAUUAUUUAAUUUGGUAAAAUUACAAUUUAAUCCUUCAUAGUUCUUCACCUAUUCAAUUUGGUCCUAAUUCAUCCAUUUUUCUUAGUUUCUAGAUCAUUCCACUCUUAAAAUAUUUACACUAUUAGUCUUUCAACUUUUUUAUAUUUACACUUUAACCCCUCAAAUUUUGAGUAUUUACUCUUGUGCAACAAGUCAUUUCUUGAAUUAAUAUAUCAUAAUAUACUUCUCAAUAUUGACAUAACUCAAAAUUUUCCUUUUUGUCACUUUAUUUACUUAUUUUACUAUAUCAAGGAUAAUAUCUUACUAUAAAAAUUUUUAGGGUAUUACAAAAAGGUUGUCUUGAAUAUGUAGGUCUUUUGACACCAGCAAGGACAAAGAACCAAGAACUUCCAAUAAUACAAAAUUACAACAUGGAAAGUGAAAAAACAAUUGGCAAAUGUAAGUUGGUUGAGUACUCAUUAAUACUUUCGGGAAUUGCUAAAAUUCGAGACUCAAGUUACCCCAUUUAGCCUAAAAAAAAAGAGCUAUGGCUAAAACUAUCGAAAUCAUUGGUAUCUUUCUUGCCUACAACCCAAAGAAUGAAUACAAGGGCAAUUUUAUUGCUUGCCUUUGAGGGAAAAACACUAGGGUAAUAUUAGGAAAAAACAGAAGAAGAAAGCCUAAAGUGCUAGCUUUCAUACUUGCAGAGGUUCUCGAAUCCCAUAUAUUCAUUAUGAUGAAUCUUGUCAAUCAUGUUUGAUAUGCCAACGCCACCUACCAAAAUAUAUUUGAGUGAGCUUUGAAUCCAAUGAGUUAGAUAGUACCUUUAAAAGGUAUCAUUCGAAUCCCAACAUUUUCAAUCAUUCCUUUAUCAUUAAACUAUGACUUAUUUGUAAAUCAGGGCUCACCUAGUGAUACUGCGCUAACGAAUAUGGUGAAUGCUAGAAUGAAGAUAAUCAAAGAUGCCCGUCCAAAUACAAUUAUCAGCCUUCUCACGACAUGUUGUCCAACAAAGGCAGCAAAAGUAGCCACAGCAGUGAAGUAGAGAGCUGCCAACAAAAAAAAGUAUGAAAAUAAGUUUAACUCCAGAG